AUUGAACGCUGGCGGCAUGCCUUACACAUGCAAGUCGAAUGGCAGCACGGGUGCUUGCACCUGGUGGCGAGUGGCGAACGGGUGAGUAAUACAUCGGAACAUGUCCUGUAGUGGGGGAUAGCCCGGCGAAAGCCGGAUUAAUACCGCAUACGAUCUACGGAUGAAAGCGGGGGACCUUCGGGCCUCGCGCUAUAGGGUUGGCCGAUGGCUGAUUAGCUAGUUGGUGGGGUAAAGGCCUACCAAGGCGACGAUCAGUAGCUGGUCUGAGAGGACGACCAGCCACACUGGGACUGAGGCACGGCCCAGACUCCUACGGGAGGCAGCAGUGGGGAAUUUUGGACAAUGGGCGAAAGCCUGAUCCAGCAAUGCCGCGUGUGUGAAGAAGGCCUUCGGGUUGUAAAGCACUUUUGUCCGGAAAGAAAUCCUUGGCUCUAAUACAGUCGGGGGAUGACGGUACCGGAAGAAUAAGCACCGGCUAACUACGUG
Molecule: ribosomal RNA, 486 nt
Filed under: uncultured bacterium
Lineage: Bacteria
Description: partial 16S ribosomal RNA
Rfam family: Bacterial small subunit ribosomal RNA
Source: RNAcentral